GCAUCCACCGGAUCGAUCGCACGGGUGACCACCAGAUAGUCACGCAGCACGAUGGCGUGCCGGUUGUC
This 68-nucleotide small RNA is filed under the name Gordonia rhizosphera NBRC 16068. RNAcentral's name for it is "ASdes TB sRNA". It matches the Rfam family "ASdes TB sRNA". The record is from Rfam by way of RNAcentral. Lineage: Bacteria; Bacillati; Actinomycetota; Actinomycetes; Mycobacteriales; Gordoniaceae.